ACUCCCUACGGGAGGCAGCAGUGGGGAAUAUUGCACAAUGGGCGCAAGCCUGAUGCAGCCAUGCCGCGUGUAUGAAGAAGGCCUUCGGGUUGUAAAGUACUUUCAGCAGUGAGGAAGGUGGGUAUGUUAAUAGCAUACUCAUUUGACGUUAGCUGCAGAAGAAGCACCGGCUAACUCCGUGCCAGCAGCCGCGGUAAUACGGAGGGUGCGAGCGUUAAUCGGAAUUACUGGGCGUAAAGCGCAUGCAGGUGGUUUGUUAAGUCAGAUGUGAAAGCCCGGGGCUCAACCUCGGAAUUGCAUUUGAAACUGGCAAACUAGAGUACUGUAGAGGGGGGUAGAAUUUCAGGUGUAGCGGUGAAAUGCGUAGAGAUCUGAAGGAAUACCGGUGGCGAAGGCGGCCCCCUGGACAGAUACUGACACUCAGAUGCGAAAGCGUGGGGAGCAAACAGGAUUAGAUACCCUGGUAGGCUCU
This 472-nucleotide ribosomal RNA is filed under the name uncultured bacterium. RNAcentral describes it as "bacterial SSU rRNA". It matches the Rfam family "Bacterial small subunit ribosomal RNA", at positions 335 to 798 of the family's 1533-position model. The record is from RNAcentral.